GGGCGUAUGGCUCAGUUGGUUAGAGCGCUGCCUUCACACGGCAGAGGUCACAGGUUCGAAUCCUGUUACGCCCACCG
RNAcentral lists this transfer RNA (77 nucleotides) under uncultured Acidimicrobiales bacterium. RNAcentral's name for it is "tRNA-Val-CAC". It matches the Rfam family "tRNA". Rfam says of the family: Transfer RNA (tRNA) molecules are approximately 80 nucleotides in length. Lineage: Bacteria; Bacillati; Actinomycetota; Acidimicrobiia; Acidimicrobiales. The record is from RNAcentral.